UACGGAGGGUGCAAGCGUUAUCCGGAAUCACUGGGUUUAAAGGGUGCGUAGGCGGCUUAAUAAGUCAGAGGUGAAAGGCUGUGGCUCAACCAUGGGAUUGCCUUAGAUACUGUUAGGCUUGAAUCAGGCUGAGGUUGGCAGAAUGUGGCAUGUAGCGGUGAAAUGCAUAGAUAUGCCAUAGAAUACGGAUUGCGAAGGCAGCUGACCGGCCCUUGAUUGACGCUGAGGCACGAAAGCGUGGGGAGCGAACAGG
RNAcentral lists this ribosomal RNA (253 nucleotides) under uncultured bacterium. RNAcentral's name for it is "partial 16S ribosomal RNA". It matches the Rfam family "Bacterial small subunit ribosomal RNA", at positions 524 to 776 of the family's 1533-position model. The record is from RNAcentral.